RNAcentral lists this ribosomal RNA (914 nucleotides) under uncultured bacterium. Its description in RNAcentral is "bacterial SSU rRNA". It matches the Rfam family "Bacterial small subunit ribosomal RNA", at positions 8 to 917 of the family's 1533-position model. The record is from RNAcentral.
AGAGUUUGAUCCUGGCUCAGAUUGAACGCUGGCGGCAGGCCUAACACAUGCAAGUCGAGCGGUAGAGAGAAGCUUGCUUCUCUUGAGAGCGGCGGACGGGUGAGUAAUGCCUAGGAAUCUGCCUAGUGGUGGGGGAUAACGUUCGGAAACGGACGCUAAUACCGCAUACGUCCUACGGGAGAAAGCGGGGGACCUUCGGGCCUCGCGCCAUUAGAUGAGCCUAGGUCGGAUUAGCUAGUUGGUGAGGUAAUGGCUCACCAAGGCGACGAUCCGUAACUGGUCUGAGAGGAUGAUCAGUCACACUGGAACUGAGACACGGUCCAGACUCCUACGGGGGGCAGCAGUGGGGAAUAUUGGACAAUGGGCGAAAGCCUGAUCCAGCCAUGCCGCGUGUGUGAAGAAGGUCUUCGGAUUGUAAAGCACUUUAAGUUGGGAGGAAGGGUAGUAACUUAAUACGUUGCUACUUUGACGUUACCGACAGAAUAAGCACCGGCUAACUUCGUGCCAGCAGCCGCGGUAAUACGAAGGGUGCAAGCGUUAAUCGGAAUUACUGGGCGUAAAGCGCGCGUAGGUGGUUCAGUAAGUUGGAAGUGAAAUCCCCGGGCUCAACCUGGGAACUGCUUUCAAAACUGCUGAGCUAGAGUACGGUAGAGGGUGGUGGAAUUUCCUGUGUAGCGGUGAAAUGCGUAGAUAUAGGAAGGAACACCAGUGGCGAAGGCGACCACCUGGACUGAUACUGACACUGAGGUGCGAAAGCGUGGGGAGCAAACAGGAUUAGAUACCCUGGUAGUCCACGCCGUAAACGAUGUCAACUAGCCGUUGGGAGUCUUGAACUCUUAGUGGCGCAGCUAACGCAUUAAGUUGACCGCCUGGGGAGUACGGCCGCAAGGUUAAAACUCAAAGGAAUUGACGGG